Felis catus (domestic cat) is the source of this 85-nucleotide transfer RNA. It matches the Rfam family "tRNA". From Rfam's summary of the family: Transfer RNA (tRNA) molecules are approximately 80 nucleotides in length. NCBI's taxonomy places the organism in Eukaryota, Metazoa, Chordata, Mammalia, Carnivora, Felidae. The record is from Rfam.
GCCUGGGUGGCUCAGUCGGUUAAGCAUCUGACUUCGGAUCAGGUCAUGAUCUUGUGGUCCAUGAGUUCAAGACCCGUGUCAGGCU